GCAGGUUCAGUGUACAGUGUACAGGGCAAGUCAGCAGAUCACAGAAAGAGUAAAGAGAAAUGUAAUAAUGUAGAGUGGACAUGUAAUGUUAAAGAGAUGUAAUAGUUAUGUUUUCAGUUACAGAUGUGCUAGACUUAGUAGUUUGUGUUGUAAAUCUAUUAUUAUGUACAUGAUCUGUAUAUGUAUAUGUUUUACUGAGUAUGUGAAAACCAG
This 213-nucleotide long non-coding RNA is filed under the name Manihot esculenta (cassava). Its description in RNAcentral is "long non-coding RNA (MESC_LNC000338)". The record is from RNAcentral. Lineage: Eukaryota; Viridiplantae; Streptophyta; Magnoliopsida; Malpighiales; Euphorbiaceae.